This 493-nucleotide ribosomal RNA is filed under the name uncultured bacterium. RNAcentral describes it as "partial 16S ribosomal RNA". It matches the Rfam family "Bacterial small subunit ribosomal RNA", at positions 29 to 523 of the family's 1533-position model. The record is from RNAcentral.
AUUGAACGCUGGCGGCAUGCUUUACACAUGCAAGUCGAACGGUAACAGGUUAAGCUGACGAGUGGCGAACGGGUGAGUAAUGUAUCGGAACGUGCCAAGCCGGGGGGGAUAACGUAGCGAAAGCUAGGCUAAUACCGCAUACAAUCUCUGGAUGAAGGGGGGGGACGGCAAGGCCUCGCGCGAUUGGAGCGGCCGAUAUCAGAUUAGGUAGUUGGCGGGGUAAAGGCCCACCAAGCCAACGAUCUGUAGCUGGUCUGAGAGGACGACCAGCCACACUGGGACUGAGACACGGCCCAGGCUCCUACGGGAGGCAGCAGUGGGGAAUUUUGGACAAUGGGGGCAACCCUGAUCCAGCAAUGCCGCGUGCAGGAAGAAGGCCUUCGGGUUGUAAACUGCUUUUGUACGGAACGAAAAGGCUCUGGUUAAUACCUGGGGCUCAUGACGGUACCGUAAGAAUAAGCACCGGCUAACUACGUGCCAGCCGCCGCAGUAA